CCUACGGGAGGCAGCAGUGGGGAAUAUUGGACAAUGGGGGGAACCCUGAUCCAGCCAUGCCGCGUGUGUGAAGAAGGCCCUCGGGUUGUAAAGCACUUUCAGUGAGGAAGAACGCCUGGUGGUUAAUACCCAUCAGGAAAGACAUCACUCACAGAAGAAGCACCGGCUAACUCCGUGCCAGCAGCCGCGGUAAUACGGAGGGUGCGAGCGUUAAUCGGAAUUACUGGGCGUAAAGCGCGCGUAGGUGGCUUGAUAAGUCGGUUGUGAAAGCCCCGGGCUCAACCUGGGAACGGCAUCCGGAACUGUCAAGCUAGAGUGCAGGAGAGGAAGGUAGAAUUCCCGGUGUAGCGGUGAAAUGCGUAGAGAUCGGGAGGAAUACCAGUGGCGAAGGCGGCCUUCUGGACUGACACUGACACUGAGGUGCGAAAGCGUGGGUAGCAAACAGGAUUAGAUACCCUAGUAGUC
This 465-nucleotide ribosomal RNA is filed under the name Vreelandella stevensii. RNAcentral's name for it is "partial 16S ribosomal RNA". It matches the Rfam family "Bacterial small subunit ribosomal RNA", at positions 338 to 795 of the family's 1533-position model. Lineage: Bacteria; Pseudomonadati; Pseudomonadota; Gammaproteobacteria; Oceanospirillales; Halomonadaceae. The record is from RNAcentral.